This 253-nucleotide unclassified non-coding RNA is filed under the name uncultured Pseudomonadaceae bacterium. Its description in RNAcentral is "contains 16S-23S intergenic spacer region". It matches the Rfam family "Bacterial small subunit ribosomal RNA", at positions 524 to 776 of the family's 1533-position model. The record is from RNAcentral. Lineage: Bacteria; Pseudomonadati; Pseudomonadota; Gammaproteobacteria; Pseudomonadales; Pseudomonadaceae.
UACGGAGGGGGCUAGCGUUGUUCGGAAUUACUGGGCGUAAAGCGCGCGUAGGUGGUUUGAUAAGCGAGAUGUGAAAGCCCCGGGCUUAACCUGGGAACUGCAUCCAAAACUGGCAAGCUAGAGUACGGUAGAGGGUGGUGGAAUUUCCUGUGUAGCGGUGAAAUGCGUAGAUAUAGGAAGGAACACCAGUGGCGAAGGCGACCACCUGGACUGAUACUGACACUGAGGUGCGAAAGCGUGGGGAGCAAACAGG